This 65-nucleotide transfer RNA is filed under the name Margaritifera laevis. RNAcentral describes it as "tRNA-Val". The record is from RNAcentral. Lineage: Eukaryota; Metazoa; Mollusca; Bivalvia; Unionida; Margaritiferidae.
CAAAAAGUAGUAUAUUACAAUUACAUUUCGUUUACACCGAGAAAAAGGCUUAUCGCCCUUUUUGA